GAUGAACGCUGGCGGCGUGCUUAACACAUGCAAGUCGAACGAAGCACUUUAUUUGAUUUCCUUCGGGACUGAUUAUUUUGUGACUGAGUGGCGGACGGGUGAGUAACGCGUGGGUAACCUGCCUUGUACAGGGGGAUAACAGUUGGAAACGGCUGCUAAUACCGCAUAAGCGCCCAGCAUCGCAUGAUGCAGUGUGAAAAACUCCGGUGGUAUAAGAUGGACCCGCGUUGGAUUAGCUAGUUGGUGAGGUAACGGCCCACCAUGGCGACGAUCCAUAGCCGACCUGAGAGGGUGACCGGCGACAUUGGGACUGAGACACGGCCCAAACUCCUACGGGAGGCAGCAGUGGGGAAUAUUGCACAAUGGGCGAAAGCCUGAUGCAGCGACGCCGCGUGAGCGAAGAAGUAUUUCGGUAUGUAAAGCUCUAUCAGCAGGGAAGAUAAUGACGGUACCUGACUAAGAAGCACCGGCUAAAUACGUG
Molecule: ribosomal RNA, 481 nt
Filed under: uncultured bacterium
Lineage: Bacteria
Description: partial 16S ribosomal RNA
Rfam family: Bacterial small subunit ribosomal RNA
Source: RNAcentral